This 789-nucleotide ribosomal RNA is filed under the name Bacillus sp. (in: firmicutes). Its description in RNAcentral is "bacterial SSU rRNA". It matches the Rfam family "Bacterial small subunit ribosomal RNA", at positions 47 to 819 of the family's 1533-position model. Lineage: Bacteria; Bacillati; Bacillota; Bacilli; Caryophanales; Bacillaceae. The record is from RNAcentral.
CAGCUAUAAUGCAGUCGAGCGGACAGAUGGGAGCUUGCUCCCUGAUGUUAGCGGCGGACGGGUGAGUAACACGUGGGUAACCUGCCUGUAAGACUGGGAUAACUCCGGGAAACCGGGGCUAAUACCGGAUGGUUGUUUGAACCGCAUGGUUCAAACAUAAAAGGUGGCUUCGGCUACCACUUACAGAUGGACCCGCGGCGCAUUAGCUAGUUGGUGAGGUAACGGCUCACCAAGGCAACGAUGCGUAGCCGACCUGAGAGGGUGAUCGGCCACACUGGGACUGAGACACGGCCCAGACUCCUACGGGAGGCAGCAGUAGGGAAUCUUCCGCAAUGGACGAAAGUCUGACGGAGCAACGCCGCGUGAGUGAUGAAGGUUUUCGGAUCGUAAAGCUCUGUUGUUAGGGAAGAACAAGUACCGUUCGAAUAGGGCGGUACCUUGACGGUACCUAACCAGAAAGCCACGGCUAACUACGUGCCAGCAGCCGCGGUAAUACGUAGGUGGCAAGCGUUGUCCGGAAUUAUUGGGCGUAAAGGGCUCGCAGGCGGUUUCUUAAGUCUGAUGUGAAAGCCCCCGGCUCAACCGGGGAGGGUCAUUGGAAACUGGGGAACUUGAGUGCAGAAGAGGAGAGUGGAAUUCCACGUGUAGCGGUGAAAUGCGUAGAGAUGUGGAGGAACACCAGUGGCGAAGGCGACUCUCUGGUCUGUAACUGACGCUGAGGAGCGAAAGCGUGGGGAGCGAACAGGAUUAGAUACCCUGGUAGUCCACGCCGUAAACGAUGAGUGCUAA